This 457-nucleotide ribosomal RNA is filed under the name bacteria symbiont BFo1 of Frankliniella occidentalis. Its description in RNAcentral is "bacterial SSU rRNA". It matches the Rfam family "Bacterial small subunit ribosomal RNA", at positions 1 to 454 of the family's 1533-position model. Lineage: Bacteria; Pseudomonadati; Pseudomonadota; Gammaproteobacteria; Enterobacterales; Erwiniaceae. The record is from RNAcentral.
UUUAAUUGAAGAGUUUGAUCAUGGCUCAGAUUGAACGCUGGCGGCAGGCCUAACACAUGCAAGUCGAACGGUAGCACAGAGAGCUUGCUCUUGGGUGACGAGUGGCGGACGGGUGAGUAAUGUCUGGGAAACUGCCCGAUGGAGGGGGAUAACUACUGGAAACGGUAGCUAAUACCGCAUAACGUCUUCGGACCAAAGUGGGGGACCUUCGGGCCUCACACCAUCGGAUGUGCCCAGAUGGGAUUAGCUAGUAGGUGGGGUAACGGCUCACCUAGGCGACGAUCCCUAGCUGGUCUGAGAGGAUGACCAGCCACACUGGAACUGAGACACGGUCCAGACUCCUACGGGAGGCAGCAGUGGGGAAUAUUGCACAAUGGGCGCAAGCCUGAUGCAGCCAUGCCGCGUGUAUGAAGAAGGCCUUCGGGUUGUAAAGUACUUUCAGUGGGGAGGAAGGCGA